Molecule: non-coding RNA, 1212 nt
Organism: Oryctolagus cuniculus (rabbit)
Lineage: Eukaryota; Metazoa; Chordata; Mammalia; Lagomorpha; Leporidae
Source: RefSeq, a predicted model, not a curated record
UAACUAGACAGAGAAGAAAACAAAGAUGUUACUGUAGUAAAACCACCUACUGUAUGUCCAAGACUAAAGAGUUUUAGCAUAAAUAUUUCAGCAAAUUCUUUACAACGGUUUUGAAGUAUGGUUCAACAGCUCAAACAGGAAUCCAUUCCCUAAAGAACCCAGAAGCCAGAUCUUGUAAGAAUCUCAAGUAAUUUGCAACAAAAUGAUCAAAACCUCUGCUUUUGGGACAGAGCAAAGGAGAAAAAUGUAUCUGUUGAAAAAAAAAAAAAGGCACAAAGACAAACCCGCCAACAAACAGGUUGUUGGGUGGCCUGCCCAGCUCGGAGCGGCAGAGGCCUGGCCACGGGCAGUGUCACCCCAGGAAUGUCCCAUGAGGCCCUGGGCAGCGCCAUGAUCCUCCAUGUGACCGUAAGUGCACAUUUUAAGCACAGUCGGGAAAUCCCAUGGCGAGCCUGAUAAAACAUGGUUUUAAAUGAGCGUCCCCGGUGUGCCAGCCUGGUACGAACAGCGCUCCCCAAGUACUGCCGUGGGCCUGGCGCGUGUGGACACGAAGCAGAGCGCGGCCACGCUGGGGGUAUGGACAACGGCAGAAGACAGGUCUCACGUCACGUGUGAACCAAAACCAGCAUUUCUCAGCUCAUCUUCCACUUUACCUGGCCCCAAGUGACUCCUGCUUCCAAAAAUCAAAUCCACUCUCAACUGAAAAAGAUCCUGGGGAUACUGCAAAGGAUGAGUCACAGCCUCUGAAGGAAAUUCGAAAGAGGAGCUCCAAAAAUAUUCUGCGGCAUGGCAGUGCCUCGGAGAGCGCGGAGGCUCCCGGGACGAGGGCUCCGAAGGAAGACACUCUCCUUUGGCGUACAGCAGUUCUGAGCAAGCUGUCAGCAUCUUUUCGUGGCCAUCGCUGGACAUGCACUUUACACUGUUUGUUCACUGAAUGAGAACCAGAGAACACCUGGACCCUUAAAGAAUCACAUUAAUAAAAACAGGCUGGGAGUGAGAGCCUGAGGCUGUUUAAAGAAAGACAGAGUAGGACUUUGGUGCUGGAGCUUGUCACACCUGUUUCUAGGGUUUUGUUUUUUAAUCUGAUUUCAGAUUUGGGUCUGUGUGAGGCUGGGGUUACAGGAGAUCUGACUUCUGCAUAAGCUACCUACAAUGGUACUUCAAAACGUUUGUGGAAGAGAGAAUUAAAGGAUAAGUUUGUUUUGAUGUAAA